This 493-nucleotide ribosomal RNA is filed under the name uncultured bacterium. RNAcentral's name for it is "partial 16S ribosomal RNA". It matches the Rfam family "Bacterial small subunit ribosomal RNA", at positions 29 to 523 of the family's 1533-position model. The record is from RNAcentral.
AUUGAACGCUGGCGGCAUGCUUUACACAUGCAAGUCGAACGGUACCAGGUUAAGCUGACGAGUGGCGAACGGGUGAGUAAUGCAUCGGAACGUGCCCGAGCGUGGGGGAUAACGCAGCGAAAGCAGCGAUAAUACCGCAUACGAUCUGAGGAUGAAAGCGGGGGACGGUAAGGCCUCGCGCGAUCGGAGCGGCCGCUGUCGGUUCAGGUGGUUGGUGGGGUAAAGUCACACCAAGCCGACGAUCUGUAGCUGGUCUGAGAGGACGACCAGCCCCACCGGGACUGAGACACGGCCCAGACUCGCACGGGAGGCAGCAGUAGGGAAUUUUGGACAAUGGGCGAAAUCCUGAUCCAGCAAUGCCGCGUGCAGGAAGAAGGACUUCGGGUUGUAAACUGCUUUUGUACGGAGAGAACAGGUCCUUUAUAAAACAAGGAGCUCAUGACGGUACCGUACGAAUAAGCACCGGCUAACUACGUGCCAGCCGCCGCCGUAA